CAAUAGCGGACACCCAAGAACGCACG
RNAcentral lists this unclassified non-coding RNA (26 nucleotides) under Mus musculus (house mouse). RNAcentral describes it as "oocyte_clustered_small_RNA5162". Lineage: Eukaryota; Metazoa; Chordata; Mammalia; Rodentia; Muridae. The record is from RNAcentral.